Molecule: ribosomal RNA, 468 nt
Filed under: uncultured bacterium
Lineage: Bacteria
Description: partial 16S ribosomal RNA
Rfam family: Bacterial small subunit ribosomal RNA
Source: RNAcentral
GACGAACGCUGGCGGCGUGCUUAACACAUGCAAGUCGAACGGAAAGGCCCUGCUUUUGUGGUGUGCUCGAGUGGCGAACGGGUGAGUAACACGUGAGUAACCUGCCCUUGACUUUGGGAUAACUUCAGGAAACUGGGGCUAAUACCGGAUAGGAGCUCCUGCUGCAUGGUGGGGGUUGGAAAUUUUCGGCGGUUGGGGAUGGACUCGCGGCUUAUCAGCUUGUUGGUGGGGUAGUGGCUUACCCAGGCUUUGACGGGUAGCCGGCCUGAGAGGGUGACCGGCGACAAGGGGACUGAGGUAGGGCGCAGACGCGUACGGGAGGCAGCAGGGGGGAAUAUUGCACAAUGGGCGGAAGCCUGAUGCAGAAACGCCGCGUGCGGGAUGACGGCCUGCGGGGUGUAAACAGCUUUCGCCUGUGACGAAGCGUGAGUGACGGUAAUGGGUAAAGAAGCACCGGCUAACUACGUG